GACGAACCGUGCGAACGUUGUUCGGAUUCACUGGGCUUAAAGGGCGCGUAGGCGGGUCAACAAGUCAGGGGUGAAAGCUUUCGGCUCAACCGGCAAAGUGCCUUUGAUACUGUUGAUCUGGAGUGAGGUAGGGCCAUGCGGAACAGUGGGUGGAGCGGUGAAAUGCGUAGAUAUCCACUGGAAUGCCGGUGGCGAAAGAGGCGUGCUGGACCUCGACUGACGCUGAGGCGCGAAAGCUAGGGGAGCAAACGGG
RNAcentral lists this ribosomal RNA (253 nucleotides) under uncultured bacterium. RNAcentral's name for it is "partial 16S ribosomal RNA". It matches the Rfam family "Bacterial small subunit ribosomal RNA", at positions 524 to 776 of the family's 1533-position model. The record is from RNAcentral.